Molecule: ribosomal RNA, 500 nt
Filed under: uncultured bacterium
Lineage: Bacteria
Description: partial 16S ribosomal RNA
Rfam family: Bacterial small subunit ribosomal RNA
Source: RNAcentral
AUUGAACGCUGGCGGCAUGCUUUACACAUGCAAGUCGAACGGCAGCACGGACUUCGGUCUGGUGGCGAGUGGCGAACGGGUGAGUAAUACAUCGGAACGUACCCAGUAAUGGGGGAUAACUAGUCGAAAGAUUAGCUAAUACCGCAUACGCCCUACGGGGGAAAGAGGGGGAUCGCAAGACCUCUUGUUAUUGGAGCGGCCGAUGGCUGAUUAGCUAGUUGGUGGGGUAAAGGCCUACCAAGGCGACGAUCAGUAGCGGGUCUUAGAGGACGAUCAGCCACACUGGAACUGAGACACGGUCCAGACUCCUACGGGAGGCAGCAGUGGGGAAUCUUGGACAAUGGGCGAAAGCCUGAUCCAGCAAUGCCGCGUGCGUGAAGAAGGCCUUCGGGUUGUAAAGCGCUUUUGUCUGGGAGCAAAUCCUUGUGGCUAAUACCCACCGGGGAUGAGAGUACCAGAAGAAUAAGGACCGGCUAACUACGUGCCAGCAGCCGCGGUAA